Molecule: ribosomal RNA, 744 nt
Filed under: uncultured organism
Description: bacterial SSU rRNA
Rfam family: Bacterial small subunit ribosomal RNA
Source: RNAcentral
AGUCGAGCGAUGAGGCUCCCUUCGGGGAGUACAUCAGCGGCAGACGGGUGAGUAACACGUAGAUAACCUGCCCUCAAGACGGGGACAACCGGUGGAAACAGCGGCUAAUACCCGAUAUGCUCACAGGAUCGGGAGAUCGAGUGAGGAAAGCGCCCCUUCGGGGGAGAGUGUUUGAGGAGGGAUCUGCGGCCCAUCAGCUAGUUGGUGAGGUAACGGCUCACCAAGGCGAAGACGGGUAGGGGGUGUGAGAGCAUGGCCCCCCACAAUGGGACUGAGACACGGCCCAUACUCCUACGGGAGGCAGCAGCGGGGAAUAUUGCGCAAUGGACGGAAGUCAGACGCAGCGACGCCGCGUGGGUGAGGAAGGCCUUCGGGUUGUAAAGCCCUUUUCAGGGGAGCGAGAAAGGACGGUACCCUUGGAAUAAGCGUCGGCUAACUACGUGCCAGCAGCCGCGGUAAGACGUAGGACGCAAGCGUUAUCCGGAUUUACUGGGCGUAAAGCGCCUGUAGGCGGUCAAGUAAGUCGGAUGUGAAAGCCCCGUACUCAACGCGGGGAAGCCAUUCGAUACUGCGUGACUAGAGAACGGCAGAGGGAAACGGAAUUUCUGGUGUAGCGGUAAAAUGCGCAGAGAUCAGAAAGAACACCGAUGGCGAAGGCAGUUUCCUAGGCCGCAUCUGACGCUGAGAGGCGAAAGCUAGGGGAGCAAACAGGAUUAGAGACCCUGGUAGUCCUAGCUGUAAACG